RNAcentral lists this ribosomal RNA (3167 nucleotides) under Saccharomyces cerevisiae (brewer's yeast). It matches the Rfam family "Bacterial large subunit ribosomal RNA". The record is from RNAcentral. Lineage: Eukaryota; Fungi; Ascomycota; Saccharomycetes; Saccharomycetales; Saccharomycetaceae.
AUAAUCAUGGAGUAUAAUAAUUAAAUUUAAUAAAUUUAAUAUAACUAUUAAUAGAAUUAGGUUACUAAUAAAUUAAUAACAAUUAAUUUUAAAACCUAAAGGUAAACCUUUAUAUUAAUAAUGUUUUUUUUUAUUAUUUUUAUAAUAAGAAUAAUUAUUAAUAAUAAUAAACUAAGUGAACUGAAACAUCUAAGUAACUUAAGGAUAAGAAAUCAACAGAGAUAUUAUGAGUAUUGGUGAGAGAAAAUAAUAAAGGUCUAAUAAGUAUUAUGUGAAAAAAAUGUAAGAAAAUAGGAUAACAAAUUCUAAGACUAAAUACUAUUAAUAAGUAUAGUAAGUACCGUAAGGGAAAGUAUGAAAAUGAUUAUUUUAUAAGCAAUCAUGAAUAUAUUAUAUUAUAUUAAUGAUGUACCUUUUGUAUAAUGGGUCAGCAAGUAAUUAAUAUUAGUAAAACAAUAAGUUAUAAAUAAAUAGAAUAAUAUAUAUAUAUAUAAAAAUAUAUUAAAAUAUUUAAUUAAUAUUAAUUGACCCGAAAGCAAACGAUCUAACUAUGAUAAGAUGGAUAAACGAUCGAACAGGUUGAUGUUGCAAUAUCAUCUGAUUAAUUGUGGUUAGUAGUGAAAGACAAAUCUGGUUUGCAGAUAGCUGGUUUUCUAUGAAAUAUAUGUAAGUAUAGCCUUUAUAAAUAAUAAUUAUUAUAUAAUAUUAUAUUAAUAUUAUAUAAAGAAUGGUACAGCAAUUAAUAUAUAUUAGGGAACUAUUAAAGUUUUAUUAAUAAUAUUAAAUCUCGAAAUAUUUAAUUAUAUAUAAUAAAGAGUCAGAUUAUGUGCGAUAAGGUAAAUAAUCUAAAGGGAAACAGCCCAGAUUAAGAUAUAAAGUUCCUAAUAAAUAAUAAGUGAAAUAAAUAUUAAAAUAUUAUAAUAUAAUCAGUUAAUGGGUUUGACAAUAACCAUUUUUUAAUGAACAUGUAACAAUGCACUGAUUUAUAAUAAAUAAAAAAAUAAUAUUUAAAAUCAAAUAUAUAUAUAUUUGUUAAUAGAUAAUAUACGGAUCUUAAUAAUAAGAAUUAUUUAAUUCCUAAUAUGGAAUAUUAUAUUUUUAUAAUAAAAAUAUAAAUACUGAAUAUCUAAAUAUUAUUAUUACUUUUUUUUUUAAUAAUAAUAAUAUGGUAAUAGAACAUUUAAUGAUAAUAUAUAUUAGUUAUUAAUUAAUAUAUGUAUUAAUUAAAUAGAGAAUGCUGACAUGAGUAACGAAAAAAAGGUAUAAACCUUUUCACCUAAAACAUAAGGUUUAACUAUAAAAGUACGGCCCCUAAUUAAAUUAAUAAGAAUAUAAAUAUAUUUAAGAUGGGAUAAUCUAUAUUAAUAAAAAUUUAUCUUAAAAUAUAUAUAUUAUUAAUAAUUAUAUUAAUAAUAUAUAUAAUUAUAUUAAUAUUAUAUAUUUUUUUUUAUAUAAUAUAAACUAAUAAAGAUCAGGAAAUAAUUAAUGUAUACCGUAAUGUAGACCGACUCAGGUAUGUAAGUAGAGAAUAUGAAGGUGAAUUAGAUAAUUAAAGGGAAGGAACUCGGCAAAGAUAGCUCAUAAGUUAGUCAAUAAAGAGUAAUAAGAACAAAGUUGUACAACUGUUUACUAAAAACACCGCACUUUGCAGAAACGAUAAGUUUAAGUAUAAGGUGUGAACUCUGCUCCAUGCUUAAUAUAUAAAUAAAAUUAUUUAACGAUAAUUUAAUUAAAUUUAGGUAAAUAGCAGCCUUAUUAUGAGGGUUAUAAUGUAGCGAAAUUCCUUGGCCUAUAAUUGAGGUCCCGCAUGAAUGACGUAAUGAUACAACAACUGUCUCCCCUUUAAGCUAAGUGAAAUUGAAAUCGUAGUGAAGAUGCUAUGUACCUUCAGCAAGACGGAAAGACCCUAUGCAGCUUUACUGUAAUUAGAUAGAUCGAAUUAUUGUUUAUUAUAUUCAGCAUAUUAAGUAAUCCUAUUAUUAGGUAAUCGUUUAGAUAUUAAUGAGAUACUUAUUAUAAUAUAAUGAUAAUUCUAAUCUUAUAAAUAAUUAUUAUUAUUAUUAUUAAUAAUAAUAAUAUGCUUUCAAGCAUAGUGAUAAAACAUAUUUAUAUGAUAAUCACUUUACUUAAUAGAUAUAAUUCUUAAGUAAUAUAUAAUAUAUAUUAUAUAUAUAUUAUAUAUAAUAUAAGAGACAAUCUCUAAUUGGUAGUUUUGAUGGGGCGUCAUUAUCAGCAAAAGUAUCUGAAUAAGUCCAUAAAUAAAUAUAUAAAAUUAUUGAAUAAAAAAAAUAAUAUAUAUUAUAUAUAUUAAUUAUAAAUUGAAAUAUGUUUAUAUAAAUUUAUAUUUAUUGAAUAUAUUUUAGUAAUAGAUAAAAAUAUGUACAGUAAAAUUGUAAGGAAAACAAUAAUAACUUUCUCCUCUCUCGGUGGGGGUUCACACCUAUUUUUAAUAGGUGUUCACCCCUCUUCGGGGUUCCGGUUCCCUUUCGGGUCCCGGAACUUAAAAAUAAUUAUGGAAAGAAUUAAAUUAAUAUAAUGGUAUAACUGUGCGAUAAUUGUAACACAAACGAGUGAAACAAGUACGUAAGUAUGGCAUAAUGAACAAAUAACACUGAUUGUAAAGGUUAUUGAUAACGAAUAAAAGUUACGCUAGGGAUAACAGGGUAAUAUAACGAAAGAGUAGAUAUUGUAAGUUAUGUUUGCCACCUCGAUGUCGACUCAACAUUUCCUCUUGGUUGUAAAAGCUAAGAAGGGUUUGACUGUUCGUCAAUUAAAAUGUUACGUGAGUUGGGUUAAAUACGAUGUGAAUCAGUAUGGUUCCUAUCUGCUGAAGGAAAUAUUAUCAAAUUAAAUCUCAUUAUUAGUACGCAAGGACCAUAAUGAAUCAACCCAUGGUGUAUCUAUUGAUAAUAAUAUAAUAUAUUUAAUAAAAAUAAUACUUUAUUAAUAUAUUAUCUAUAUUAGUUUAUAUUUUAAUUAUAUAUUAUCAUAGUAGAUAAGCUAAGUUGAUAAUAAAUAAAUAUUGAAUACAUAUUAAAUAUGAAGUUGUUUUAAUAAGAUAAUUAAUCUGAUAAUUUUAUACUAAAAUUAAUAAUUAUAGGUUUUAUAUAUUAUUUAUAAAUAAAUAUAUUAUAAUAAUAAUAAUUAUUAUUAUUAAUAAAAAAUAU